ACGGAGGGUGCAAGCGUUAUUCGGAAUUACUGGGCGUAAAGCGCAUGUAGGCGGCUUCGCAAGUCUGGUGUGAAAUCCCACGGCUCAACCCGGGAACUGCCUUUGAAACUGCAAAGCUUGAGUCCUGGAGAGGGUGGCGGAAUUCCUGGUGUAGGAGUGAAAUCCGUAGAUAUCAGGAGGAACACCGGUGGCGAAGGCGGCCACCUGGACAGGUAUUGACGCUGAGGUGCGAAAGUGUGGGGAGCAAACAG
Molecule: ribosomal RNA, 251 nt
Filed under: uncultured prokaryote
Description: partial 16S rRNA
Rfam family: Bacterial small subunit ribosomal RNA
Source: RNAcentral